This 486-nucleotide ribosomal RNA is filed under the name uncultured bacterium. Its description in RNAcentral is "bacterial SSU rRNA". It matches the Rfam family "Bacterial small subunit ribosomal RNA", at positions 30 to 508 of the family's 1533-position model. The record is from RNAcentral.
AUUGAACGCUGGCGGCAUGCCUUACACAUGCAAGUCGAACGGCAGCGCGUCCUUCGGGAUGGCGGCGAGUGGCGAACGGGUGAGUAAAGCAUCGGAACGUGCCCGGUAGUGCGGGAUAGCUCGGCGAAAGCCGGAUUAAUACCGCAUGAGAUCUGCGGAUGAAAGCAGGGGACCCGAAAGGGCCUUGCGCUACUGGAGCGGCCGAUGUCAGAUUAGGUAGUUGGUGAGGUAAAGGCUCACCAAGCCUGCGAUCUGUAGCUGGUCUGAGAGGAUGAUCAGCCACAUCGGGACUGAGACACGGCCCGAACUCCUACGGGAGGCAGCAGUGGGGAAUUUUGGACAAUGGGCGCAAGCCUGAUCCAGCCAUGCCGCGUGCAGGAUGAAGGCCUUCGGGUUGUAAACUGCUUUUGUACGGUAACGAAAGGCUCUUUCUAAUAAGGGAGUUGAUGACGGUACCGUAAGAAUAAGCACCGGCUAACUACGUGA